Molecule: ribosomal RNA, 253 nt
Filed under: uncultured bacterium
Lineage: Bacteria
Description: partial 16S ribosomal RNA
Rfam family: Bacterial small subunit ribosomal RNA
Source: RNAcentral
GACAGAGGGGGCAAGCGUUGCUCGGAAUCACUGGGCGUAAAGGGUGCGUAGGCGGGAUGGCAAGUCAGUCGUGAAAUCUCUCGGCUCAACCGAGAAACGUCGGCUGAUACUGCCGUUCUUGAGGGAUGCAGAGGAGACUGGAAUUCCCGGUGUAGCGGUGAAAUGUGUAGAGAUCGGGAGGAACACCGGUGGCGAAGGCGGGUCUCUGGGCAUUUCCUGACGCUGAGGCGCGAAAGCGUGGGGAGCAAACGGG